This 2144-nucleotide long non-coding RNA is filed under the name Canis lupus familiaris (dog). RNAcentral's name for it is "lncRNA (ENSCAFG00845008854.1)". Lineage: Eukaryota; Metazoa; Chordata; Mammalia; Carnivora; Canidae. The record is from RNAcentral.
UUCUAAUAACUGGUCAGGACAUCAUUUAAUCUCUUGGCUCUCUUGUUUAGGAAGAAUGGGUCACUUGCAAGGGCCAAUCAAGUACAAAAUAAAAAUACCCAUAUCUCAAACUAAGAAUGCACAGCUUUAAAUAGCAUUCAAAAUGUUUCUAGAUCUUUUUUUUUGUUGUUUUUCAGAUGGGAGGAAUUUACAGUAUUUGGCCUGUCGGAGAACAAAGAACACACCAGCUUCAGAUGAAAGUCUGAUGUUACAAAUAAUAACAGAAGGAAAUGGGAACUCAUUGUCAACAAGAGAGGUAGAAUACAAACAGAUCUUUAUUCAGACAAAUUCCUUUUUAAAGAAAAGAAAGUGCUGGGUAAGUCUUGUGAGUUUCUGUAUUAGAAUUCCACCUUUAAGAAUUUUUUAAAAAAAUUAUUUAUUAUUUGAGAGAGAGAAUGAGAGAAAAAGCACGAGUGAGCAGAGAGGGAGAAGGAGAAGCAGUCUCCCUGCUGAGCAGGGAGCCUGAUGUGGAGCUCAAUCCCAGGACCCCAGGAUCAUGACCUGAGCCAAAGGCAGAUGCUUAACCCACUAAACCACCCCGGCACUCUUAGUUCCACCUUUAGAAUCCUUGAUUCUCAAUUUAGAUCAUAAUUCAAAUAAACUUAAUAAUAUGAAUACAUAGUAGGAUAUGGAAUGGGAUUUUUUGCUGUCUUAGAAUUUCAGCUAAGUCUCAAUUUUAGAAUAAUAGAUACCAAUAUGUCCAUGUUCUAGAAGAGCUAGCUGCCAGAUACAUGCAUCUGAGACUUAUUAACAAGAACUGAUCCAGUGACAGUGAUCUACCUCUACAAAUCCAAGAAGAGGAUUCCUUGAAAGGAAUAUUUAGGAGAAAAGAGCACUUUGACUUUUGUCUUUCCCUUGAAAGAACAGGCAAUGGAAGAGGCUGUUAACCUCAUCCCAAUUCCCAUUCAGGCCAAAAUGAAGGAAGCUCUAGGAGAAUCAAAUGUAGAAAAUGUAGGUGCAUGUAAAAAGUAGAAUCUGACCACUACCCUCUGCCAGAUGGGAAGGAAUGAGUUUUAGCCUCUCAUAGUCCUGUCUUUGUGAAGCCAUUGGGUGAGAAAGUUCUUGCAGGAGAACCUGACAUGUGUCUGUAGGAAUCUGGGAACAUGAUAUCAUUGGUACCUGCCUUAAUCUAGAGAAGUGGUAGCUGGAUGAAACAGAUACAUGUGAAGAGAGAGAGAGAGAGACUCAUAGGACACUGAGGAUCCACAUCUGGGGUGGCAAAGAAACUGUGGGUGUUUGAGUCACCCAGACGUCCUGCCUGCAGAUCCCUUGUUAUAAGUGGCCAGAGAGGUACCCAAGCUGAAAAACUAUAUGAAGAGGCCAGUCAGUCAGUGCACCAUCCCUGGGCCCACCCAGGCACCCUGUUAUCCUGGCAUCAAUAUAUUACAACUUUGGCCUAUUCUCUUAUUCUCCAAUCCUCUGCCCUCAUAAAAGCAGAUGGAAAAUAGAUGGAAAAUUAAUGUACAAAUAGACCCAGGCUUGAAUGAAAUAGGACCAGAGUGGACAUUUUAAUACCUGACUGUGGGCACAUCUGUAAGGUGUGGAGAAGGGGGCACUCAUGGAGCUCUGAAGGCAGUGAUGAAAGAAGAAUCAUUGUGGUGCCUCCAAUCACAAAUAUUGUUGCUGUUUAUUUAUGGCCACUGAGUAUUGUGGAAAAACAAAAAACCCAAAAUCAAGUUUAGGUUUGAAGACUGAGUUUACCCUGUGACCUCAGAACUUCAAUACUGAUGAAACUAUGAUGUCUUCACUUUUGGAACUCAGAGACAACAGAGCCACCUGUUGCAUCUGUAUGCUCUGGUUGUCUGUUCAUAGGGCUCUAAUCACCAACACCCAGAGGAACAGUGACCUAUCCCAGGACACGAGUAGCUGCCAGGCUUUAUUUCCAUCUGUUCUUAGAUAAACAUCUGUCCCACAUUUCUGGUAGGCUGGUUGACGUGGCUUCUGUGUUUCCAUUUAGCCUCCUGUCCCAGUGACUAAACCUUUGGCCUGUUUCAUGCAUUAGCCCUUAGAUUGUGUCUCAGAGUUGUAUUCCCUUUUGUUUCUGCCCCAUGAACCAGUGUUGGGUGAUUCAUUUGCAGUUUCACAUGUGGUGCCUCUUUACCACA